This 353-nucleotide transfer-messenger RNA is filed under the name Salmonella enterica subsp. enterica serovar Enteritidis. Its description in RNAcentral is "partial transfer-messenger RNA". It matches the Rfam family "transfer-messenger RNA". Rfam says of the family: Bacterial tmRNA, also known as 10Sa RNA or SsrA, is named for its dual tRNA and mRNA-like properties. Its role is to liberate the mRNA from a stalled ribosome. Lineage: Bacteria; Pseudomonadati; Pseudomonadota; Gammaproteobacteria; Enterobacterales; Enterobacteriaceae. The record is from RNAcentral.
GGGGCUGAUUCUGGAUUCGACGGGAUUUGCGAAACCCAAGGUGCAUGCCGAGGGGCGGUUGGCCUCGUAAAAAGCCGCAAAAAAAUAGUCGCAAACGACGAAACCUACGCUUUAGCAGCUUAAUAACCUGCUUAGAGCCCUCUCUCCCUAGCCUCCGCUCUUAGGACGGGGAUCAAGAGAGGUCAAACCCAAAAGAGAUCGCGUGGAUGCCCUGCCUGGGGUUGAAGCGUUAAAACGAAUCAGGCUAGUCUGGUAGUGGCGUGUCCGUCCGCAGGUGCCAGGCGAAUGUAAAGACUGACUAAGCAUGUAGUACCGAGGAUGUAGGAAUUUCGGACGCGGGUUCAACUCCCGCC